GUUAGUGUGGUCUAGUGGUUUGAGCAGUAGACUAGGACCUGCAGAUCAGGGUUCAAUUCCCCACAUGAGCA
This is a non-coding RNA of Phrynosoma platyrhinos (Desert horned lizard), 71 nucleotides long. Lineage: Eukaryota; Metazoa; Chordata; Lepidosauria; Squamata; Phrynosomatidae. The record is from the annotation of a GenBank genome assembly.